UAAUCACACCAAGCAAAUAGCACAAACAAAGUCAGUCAAUAGUUUUGUUUUGAUAAAACAAUCGAAAUUACUUCACAUAUAUUUUUGGAAUUGGAUCAUCAGUGGGAGUGUACCUUUUCCCGACAUGUCUGGUCUUGUCAAGUCUGGAAAUGACAAACCGACAAAGUAUUUAAAGUUAAUGAUAAACUCACAUUUCUUUGGUUGUGAAACAAGAUGAAAAUAAAAGGAAGCUGCAAACUGAAUGGAAGACAUUUAGUAUUUCACACUUCAGAAGAAUAACUUGACAGACAUUGGUGUAAAGAGACACAAAUCUCAAAAAUGAAGACUGUGAUUCUUGCUUUUUUGGUCUUGUUGCUCAUCAGCCAAAAUGAAGCCUUGAGGUGCAAAUGUGAGGGCACCACAAUUAAGUGUCCAAGUCCCAUAGAGGAAUGCAAUGGUCCUGAUGGCGUCUGCAUUGGUGUCGCCUUUUUACAAGUACCAGGUGCUUACUUUAAGCGCUGCACAACUUCAAGAGCCUGCUCUCUCUUGAAUCGACCAGGUGUUACAUAUGCCAGAUGCUGCAGGACUGACCUGUGCAACUGAUCAUCCAAUUAUCAAGCAAAUGAUCAGAUUAUGAUUAAUGCGAAAGACACUGUCACCUGUUGUUUUACA
This is a long non-coding RNA of Melanotaenia boesemani (Boeseman's rainbowfish), 651 nucleotides long. RefSeq lists it as uncharacterized. Lineage: Eukaryota; Metazoa; Chordata; Actinopteri; Atheriniformes; Melanotaeniidae. The transcript is spliced from 4 exons. The record is from RefSeq and is a predicted model, not a curated record.